AAAUUGAAGAGUUUGAUCAUGGCUCAGAUUGAACGCUGGCGGCAGGCCUAACACAUGCAAGUCGAACGGUAACAGGAAACAGCUUGCUGUUUCGCUGACGAGUGGCGGACGGGUGAGUAAUGUCUGGGAAACUGCCCGAUGGA
This 143-nucleotide ribosomal RNA is filed under the name Escherichia coli. RNAcentral's name for it is "partial 16S ribosomal RNA". It matches the Rfam family "Bacterial small subunit ribosomal RNA", at positions 1 to 137 of the family's 1533-position model. Lineage: Bacteria; Pseudomonadati; Pseudomonadota; Gammaproteobacteria; Enterobacterales; Enterobacteriaceae. The record is from RNAcentral.